AAGUGUUACAGCUCUUUUAGAAUUUGUCUAGCAGGCUUUCCGGUUUUUUGUCGGAAAGCCCUU
RNAcentral lists this small nuclear RNA (63 nucleotides) under Aotus nancymaae (Ma's night monkey). Its description in RNAcentral is "U7 small nuclear RNA (ENSANAG00000007010.1)". It matches the Rfam family "U7 small nuclear RNA". From Rfam's summary of the family: Animal histone pre-mRNAs are spliced by a different mechanism than nuclear pre-mRNAs and self-splicing introns. This processing involves the U7 snRNP, which contains only one RNA species: U7. Lineage: Eukaryota; Metazoa; Chordata; Mammalia; Primates; Aotidae. The record is from Rfam by way of RNAcentral.